UGGAUCAAUGAUGAGUACCCUGGGGUGUCUGAAAUCAAGGAUUUUGAUUAAACCCUGUAACUCUGAGGUCCAUU
Molecule: small nucleolar RNA, 74 nt
Organism: Pteropus vampyrus (large flying fox)
Lineage: Eukaryota; Metazoa; Chordata; Mammalia; Chiroptera; Pteropodidae
Source: Ensembl